Molecule: long non-coding RNA, 333 nt
Organism: Maniola jurtina (meadow brown)
Lineage: Eukaryota; Metazoa; Arthropoda; Insecta; Lepidoptera; Nymphalidae
Exons: 2
Source: RefSeq, a predicted model, not a curated record
CCACCGGGACGCUGCGCGGGCGGUUGUUCUCUCGUUACACUAAGAAAACUGUUAAACGCACCACACGCCCUAACCCUUGUGACUAAGUGUGCUAGAGUGCUCCUUCAGGACCCGCUGGGGUCCGCUGCAUAGGCACUGAACUCAACGGCCGUCCUUUUACCUGGUGCAACGCUCAAACGCCGAGGAGCUGCCUCUGGAGCACGUCGUUAACCUGCCUGACGGAACCCCAGAAGGCCACGGACUUCCUCCUGGAGCAGGCCAGUCUCGUUUGUCCUAACUCAUCUGCAGGGUGCGUGCGGUGGUAAAGACGAUUAAAGGCAGGAUCGACCCACA